RNAcentral lists this non-coding RNA (567 nucleotides) under Pongo abelii (Sumatran orangutan). Lineage: Eukaryota; Metazoa; Chordata; Mammalia; Primates; Hominidae. The record is from RNAcentral.
GCCGCACACGCGCCGGACCGGGUACCUCUGUGCCCGACCUGGCCGCGGCCUAGUCCCGGCAGACGGGACUGACGAGGUCACCAACACCAGGCCGAGACGGCGUGGGUGUCAGGGACUUGGGAAUCCCCCUCCCCCAGUCCCGAUCCCGCUUUCCUCUGGGGUGAAACCCCAGAGGACCCGACGUCACUCUUGCAGCCAUCUACCUGUCUUCCUAGCUCGCUCCCCGCAGGAAUGGUCUGGGGCAACCCCAGCAACAUGCCCACCUGUGGCCAGGAUGAAUAGGAAUCCAGUUCAGGCUUGGCUUCCAUGGCAAUCAAGGCCCACCAGGCCCCAGCAACCUUCCCUACCCCCCAUUCCUUUUUGCUGCCCCCCUCCACACCGGGCAUGUUCCCUGCCACACCAUGCUGUUCCCCUCACCUGGGCUGCCCUCCCAACUCCUUUCUGCCUCUGGAGAUGCUCUGCCAUUCAAGACUUGGCUCAGGCUCCAGGUCCUCCCUGGGCCUUCUAGAGCCCCUGGUUCUCACUCCUCUGAACACUUCCAGCCUGGCUAACAGCCCACUGCAUCCU